This 548-nucleotide ribosomal RNA is filed under the name uncultured bacterium. RNAcentral describes it as "bacterial SSU rRNA". It matches the Rfam family "Bacterial small subunit ribosomal RNA", at positions 772 to 1319 of the family's 1533-position model. The record is from RNAcentral.
ACCGAAUAGAUACCCGGGUAGUCCACGCCGUAAACGUUGGGCGCUAGGUGUGGGGGUCCUUCCACGACCUCCGUGCCGCAGCUAAACGCAUUAAAGCGCCCCGCCUGGGGAGUACGGCCGCAAGGCUAAAACUCAAAGGAAUUGACGGGGGCCCGCACAAGCGGCGGAGCAUGCGGAUUAAUUCGAUGCAACGCGAAGAACCUUACCAAGGCUUGACAUGUACAGGAAAGUUCCAGAGAUGGUUCCCCCGCAAGGUCUGUACACAGGUGGUGCAUGGUUGUCGUCAGCUCGUGUCGUGAGAUGUUGGGUUAAGUCCCGCAACGAGCGCAACCCUCGUCUUAUGUUGCCAGCACGUCAUGGUGGGAACUCAUAAGAGACUGCCGGGGUCAACUCGGAGGAAGGUGGGGAUGACGUCAAAUCAUCAUGCCCCUUAUGUCUUGGGCUUCACGCAUGCUACAAUGGCCGGUACAAUGGGCUGCAAUACCGUAAGGUGGAGCGAAUCCCAAAAAGCCGGUCUCAGUUCGGAUUGGGGUCUGCAACUCGACCCC